CGCGGCCUAUCAGCUUGUUGGUGAGGUAACGGCUCACCAAGGCGACGACGGGUAACCGGCCUGAGAGGGUGACCGGUCACACUGGGACUGAGACACGGCCCAGACUCCUACGGGAGGCAGCAGUGGGGAAUAUUGCACAAUGGGCGCAAGCCUGAUGCAGCAACGCCGCGUGAGGGAUGACGGCCUUCGGGUUGUAAACCUCUUUUAGCAGGGAAGAAGCGAAAGUGACGGUACCUGCAGAAAAAGCACCGGCUAACUACGUGCCAGCAGCCGCGGUAAUACGUAGGGUGCAAGCGUUGUCCGGAAUUAUUGGGCGUAAAGAGCUCGUAGGCGGUUUGUCACGUCUGCUGUGAAAAUCCAAGGCUCAACCUUGGACUUGCAGUGGGUACGGGCAGGCUAGAGUGCGGUAGGGGAGAUGGGAAUUCCUGGUGUAGCGGUGGAAUGCGCAGAUAUCAGGAGGGACACCAAUGGCGAAGGCACAUCUCUGGGCCGUAACUGACGCUGAGGAGCGAAAGCGUGGGGAGCGAACAGGAUUAGAUACCCUGGUAGUCCACGCCGUAAACGGUGGGUGCUAGCUGU
RNAcentral lists this ribosomal RNA (579 nucleotides) under uncultured Actinomycetes bacterium. RNAcentral's name for it is "bacterial SSU rRNA". It matches the Rfam family "Bacterial small subunit ribosomal RNA", at positions 232 to 823 of the family's 1533-position model. Lineage: Bacteria; Bacillati; Actinomycetota; Actinomycetes. The record is from RNAcentral.